Molecule: transfer RNA, 73 nt
Filed under: Methanomassiliicoccales archaeon
Lineage: Archaea; Methanobacteriati; Thermoplasmatota; Thermoplasmata; Methanomassiliicoccales
Description: tRNA-Glu
Rfam family: tRNA
About the family: Transfer RNA (tRNA) molecules are approximately 80 nucleotides in length. Their secondary structure includes four short double-helical elements and three loops (D, anti-codon, and T loops).
Source: RNAcentral
GCUCCCGUAGUGUAGUGGCCAAUCAUGCAGGCCUUUCGAGUCUGCGACCCGGGUUCGAAUCCCGGCGGGAGCA